CAGUCGCCACGGGAAUACGAAGGGUGCAAGCGUUACUCGGAAUUACUGGGCGUAAAGCGUGCGUAGGUGGUGGUUUAAGUCCGUUGUGAAAGCCCUGGGCUCAACCUGGGAAUUGCAGUGGAUACUGGGUCACUAGAGUGUGGUAGAGGAUAGUGGAAUUUCCGGUGUAGCAGUGAAAUGCGUAGAGAUCGGAAGGAACAUCUGUGGCGAAGGCGACUAUCUGGGCCAACACUGACACUGAGGCACGAAAGCGUGGGGAGCAAACAGGAUUAGAUACCCGAGUAGUCCAUGUCUCUUAUAA
RNAcentral lists this ribosomal RNA (301 nucleotides) under uncultured bacterium. Its description in RNAcentral is "partial 16S ribosomal RNA". It matches the Rfam family "Bacterial small subunit ribosomal RNA", at positions 509 to 809 of the family's 1533-position model. The record is from RNAcentral.